GCCCCCGUAGCUCAGAGGAUAGAGCACUGGCCUCCGAAGCCAGUUGCACAGGUUCGAGUCCUGUCGGGGGUA
RNAcentral lists this transfer RNA (72 nucleotides) under Promineifilum breve (SeqCode). RNAcentral describes it as "Candidatus Promineifilum breve tRNA". It matches the Rfam family "tRNA". Rfam says of the family: Transfer RNA (tRNA) molecules are approximately 80 nucleotides in length. Their secondary structure includes four short double-helical elements and three loops (D, anti-codon, and T loops). The record is from Rfam by way of RNAcentral. Lineage: Bacteria; Bacillati; Chloroflexota; Ardenticatenia; Promineifilales (SeqCode); Promineifilaceae (SeqCode).